Molecule: ribosomal RNA, 301 nt
Filed under: uncultured bacterium
Lineage: Bacteria
Description: partial 16S ribosomal RNA
Rfam family: Bacterial small subunit ribosomal RNA
Source: RNAcentral
CAGUAGCCGCGGGAAUACGGAGGGAGCUAGCGUUGUUCGGAAUUACUGGGCGUAAAGCGCGCGUAGGCGGUUACUCAAGUCAGAGGUGAAAGCCCGGGGCUCAACCCCGGAACUGCCUUUGAAACUAGGUGACUAGAAUCUUGGAGAGGUCAGUGGAAUUCCGAGUGUAGAGGUGAAAUUCGUAGAUAUUCGGAAGAACACCAGUGGCGAAGGCGACUGACUGGACAAGUAUUGACGCUGAGGUGCGAAAGCGUGGGGAGCAAACAGGAUUAGAUACCCCUGUAGUCCCUGUCUCUUAUAC